ACAAAGGGCCGCGGGCGGCGGGCAGUGGUGUCCCAGUCUCCCGGUGCUUCCCUCAGGCUGAGGCGCCCGGCCUCCCGCCCGCCGCGCUCCAGAUGAAGUGUGAGCACUGCACGCGCAAGGAAUGUAGUAAGAAAACAAAAACUGAUGACCAAGAGAAUGUGUCAGCCGAUGCACCGAGUCCAGCCCAGGAAAAUGGAGAGAAGGGAGAAUUCCACAAGUUGGCUGAUGCCAAGAUAUUUUUGAGCGACUGCCUGGCAUGUGACAGCUGUGUGACUGCAGAGGAAGGAGUCCAACUUUCCCAGCAAAAUGCCAAGGAUUUCUUCCGCGUUCUGAACCUUAACAAGAAAUGUGAUACCUCAAAGCACAAAGUGCUGGUAGUGUCUGUGUGUCCUCAAUCUUUGCCUUAUUUUGCUGCUAAAUUCAACCUCAGUGUAACUGAUGCAUCCAGAAGACUCUGUGGUUUCCUCAAAAGUCUUGGGGUGCACUAUGUAUUUGACACGACAAUAGCUGCAGAUUUUAGUAUCCUGGAGAGUCAAAAAGAAUUCGUGCGUCGCUAUCGCCAGCACAGUGAGGAGGAACGCACCCUGCCCAUGCUGACCUCUGCCUGUCCUGGCUGGGUCCGAUACGCCGAGCGGGUGCUGGGUCGCCCCAUCACUGCCCACCUCUGCACCGCCAAGUCCCCCCAGCAGGUCAUGGGCUCUUUGGUGAAGGAUUAUUUCGCCAGACAGCAGAACCUGUCUCCAGAGAAGAUUUUCCACGUCAUUGUGGCCCCUUGUUAUGACAAGAAGCUGGAGGCUCUUCAGGAAAGCCUUCCCCCUGCUUUGCAUGGCUCCCGGGGCGCUGACUGCGUGUUAACAUCAGGUGAAAUUGCUCAAAUAAUGGAGCAAGGUGACCUCUCAGUGAGAGAUGCUGCCGUCGACACUCUGUAAGUGGCUUCUCUGGGGAGAGUCCUCUGGGGGGCAGGACCUCUCGUCAGCCCUGCCAGCCACCUGCCAGGCCCAGGGCUGCCCUGCUUUAUGACGAGGCCAUGUGAAGCACUGCGAUGCAGUCCCCCAGGCCCCUGCCACAACCCUCAGCCACCCUAUAGCUGUUGAAUGGGAUACCAUUCACCAGGGCUGCCAGGGAGUUGAAGGCUUGGCGGGCUUCCAUGGUGUGAUUGCCACCCUAAACCCUUGAGGAAGGACAAAAUGCACAAACAGCUUUGUCCUCGCUGGCGCAGGGCUGUUCAUGUGUGCACCAGCCCCCUUCUUCCUGAGUGCCGUCUGUGCCUCACAUUCCGUGUGGUCUAUGGGGCAGUGGGGCAGCUCCCUCAGGCCCCUUUGCACCAAGAGUGGCAGUCUGGGUUCUGCUGGGGGCGGUGACCUCGAUACCCAGCAAGGCCCAGGGCUCCUGCUGCACCCCAGGCACUGGACAGAGAGCACCACAAAGGCAGUGGCGUGUGUCCUCGCCAACAGUCCGCAUCCCAGGUGCUGCAUUCGUGCCCUUUUGGGGGAAGGUAAGAUAGAAGUUUACAGAAUUUAAGCAUCUGUGGGGCCAGGCGUGGUGGCUCACACCUAUAAUCACAGUACUUUGGGAGGCUGAGGUAGGAGGAUCGCUUGAGUCCAGGAGGCUGGGGCUGUAGUGAGCUAUGAUUGUGCCACUGCACUCCAGCCUGAGAGACAGAACAAGACCCUGUCUCCAAAAGAAAAAGACCAUAAGCAUCUGGAGCACCUGCAAGAGCCUGUGCAUGGGCUCGGCGUGACUGAGAGUCCUCCGCCUGGCCCGAGCAUCAGGCAGGCCCUCCCAAGACCCCUCAAGAUGCUAGAAUGGGACUUUCUGCAAAGUUUAAACAUCUGUACAGGAUUUAGCUUCUUUGGUGGCAAACUUGGAUUGUGAUGCCCUCAGGAAGUCUGGUUUCACUCUUUCUGUCACUGUACGUCGGCAUUCAUGAAGGACUUGUAUUUUCUCUGCCUGGUGAGGUUUGGAGACUUGAAGGAGGACAAGGUGACGCGCCAUGAUGGAGCCAGCUCGGACGGGCACCUGGCACACAUCUUCAGACAUGCGGCCAAGGAGCUGUUCAACGAGGAUGUGGAGGAGGUCACUUACCGAGCCCUGAGAAACAAAGACUUCCAAGAGGUCACCCUUGAGAAGAACGGAGAGGUGGUGUUACGCUUUGCUGCAGCCUAUGGCUUUCGAAACAUCCAGAACAUGAUCCUGAAGCUUAAGAAGGGCAAGUUCCCAUUCCACUUUGUGGAGGUCCUCGCCUGUGCUGGAGGAUGCUUAAAUGGCAGAGGCCAAGCCCAGACUCCAGACGGACAUGCGGAUAAGGCCCUGCUGCGGCAGAUGGAAGGCAUUUACGCUGACAUCCCUGUGCGGCGUCCAGAGUCCAGUGCACACGUGCAGGAGCUGUACCAGGAGUGGCUGGAGGGGAUCAACUCCCCCAAGGCCCGAGAGGUGCUGCAUACCACGUACCAGAGCCAGGAGCGUGGCGCACACAGCCUGGACAUCAAGUGGUGAAGUGAGGCCAGGGCCUUCCAGCUGCUCUUGGGGCCAGAGCCAAGAGCCUCUCAGUAGAGGGAGGGGCUGCCCUGAGUGGAGUAUUAAAGACACUUAAGAAAA
This 2598-nucleotide small RNA is filed under the name Pan troglodytes (chimpanzee). Its description in RNAcentral is "retained intron". The record is from RNAcentral. Lineage: Eukaryota; Metazoa; Chordata; Mammalia; Primates; Hominidae.